RNAcentral lists this ribosomal RNA (118 nucleotides) under Danio rerio (zebrafish). Lineage: Eukaryota; Metazoa; Chordata; Actinopteri; Cypriniformes; Danionidae. The record is from RNAcentral.
UGUCACAGCCAUAUCACCCUGUAGCCCAAAACCGGUUACUCACUGAAGCUAAGCUUGGCUGAUCCUGGUAAGUACCUGGAUAAGAAACCACAUGGGUAAACUAGAUUGCUGAUGGAAG